UACGUAGGCAGCGAGCGUUGUUCGGAGUUACUGGGCGUAAAGCGUGCGUAGGCGGGUCUUUAAGUCAGGGGUGAAAUCCUGGAGCUCAACUCCAGAACUGCCUUUGAUACUGAGGAUCUUGAGUACGGGAGAGGUGAGUGGAACUGCGAGUGUAGAGGUGAAAUUCGUAGAUAUUCGCAAGAACACCAGUGGCGAAGGCGGCUCACUGGCCCGUUACUGACGCUGAGGCACGAAAGCGUGGGGAGCAAACAGG
This 253-nucleotide ribosomal RNA is filed under the name uncultured bacterium. RNAcentral's name for it is "partial 16S ribosomal RNA". It matches the Rfam family "Bacterial small subunit ribosomal RNA", at positions 524 to 776 of the family's 1533-position model. The record is from RNAcentral.